This is a long non-coding RNA of Helianthus annuus (common sunflower), 406 nucleotides long. RefSeq lists it as uncharacterized. Lineage: Eukaryota; Viridiplantae; Streptophyta; Magnoliopsida; Asterales; Asteraceae. The transcript has 6 exons. The record is from RefSeq and is a predicted model, not a curated record.
GAGAAAUUUGCAGUCAAUGAUUCACCUAAGGCCCCCCUUCUCAUUGCUACUCUGAUGAAAGUCAGUUCUUUCAGCAUAUCUAGCAACGGACUUUCAUAUGCCUAAUAAUGCUUUCCAGCUUAGCACAUGUACAAGGAUUAGAGAGAUAUUCGGGAAUGCGGGGUUAGCACAAGAAGGCUUCAGAAUAUGUUUGGGAGAGAAAUUGAUGGGCUUCCAGCUUCAAUGUCUUCUUCCUUAAAAUAUAACAACAUUAAACUCUUUGCGGCCAACAAAAAGAGAUUCGAUAGCUAUUCAGAAGCCUCGGAGGAUUAUGUGAAAAGAUAUGAGAGAUCUUUUAGAAGGCUUCCAGUGGCUCACAAGAUUCAAUGUUAGUCUGGAAUCCUAGGGGAUUUCAGAUUAGGAAGGU